RNAcentral lists this ribosomal RNA (435 nucleotides) under uncultured Rhodobacter sp. RNAcentral's name for it is "bacterial SSU rRNA". It matches the Rfam family "Bacterial small subunit ribosomal RNA", at positions 8 to 489 of the family's 1533-position model. Lineage: Bacteria; Pseudomonadati; Pseudomonadota; Alphaproteobacteria; Rhodobacterales. The record is from RNAcentral.
AGAGUUUGAUCAUGGCUCAGAAUGAACGCUGGCGGCAGGCCUAACACAUGCAAGUCGAACGGAUCCUUCGGGAUUAGUGGCGGACGGGUGAGUAACGCGUGGGAACAUACCCUUUGGCACGGAAUAGCCUCGGGAAACUGGGAGUAAUACCGUAUGUGCCCUUCGGGGGAAAGAUUUAUCGCCAAAGGAUUGGCCCGCGUUGGAUUAGGUAGUUGGUGGGGUAAUGGCCUACCAAGCCGACGAUCCAUAGCUGGUUUGAGAGGAUGAUCAGCCACACUGGGACUGAGACACGGCCCAGACUCCUACGGGAGGCAGCAGUGGGGAAUCUUAGACAAUGGGGGAAACCCUGAUCUAGCCAUGCCGCGUGAUCGAUGAAGGCCUUAGGGUUGUAAAGAUCUUUCAGUUGGGAAGAUAAUGACGGUACCAACAGAAGAG